Molecule: ribosomal RNA, 497 nt
Filed under: uncultured bacterium
Lineage: Bacteria
Description: partial 16S ribosomal RNA
Rfam family: Bacterial small subunit ribosomal RNA
Source: RNAcentral
GAUGAACGCUGGCGGCGUGCCUAAUACAUGCAAGUCGAGCGGACGGACGAGAAGCUUGCUUUUCUGAUGUUAGCGGCGGACGGGUGAGUAACACGUGGAUAACCUACCUAUAAGACUGGGAUAACUUCGGGAAACCGGAGCUAAUACCGGAUAAUAUUUUGAACCGCAUGGUUCAAAAGUGAAAGACGGUCUUGCUGUCACUUAUAGAUGGAUCCGCGCUGCAUUAGCUAGUUGGUAAGGUAACGGCUUACCAAGGCAACGAUGCAUAGCCGACCUGAGAGGGUGAUCGGCCACACUGGAACUGAGACACGGUCCAGACUCCUACGGGAGGCAGCAGUAGGGAAUCUUCCGCAAAGGGCGAAAGCCUGACGGAGCAACGCCGCGUGAGUGAUGAAGGUCUUCGGAUCGUAAAACUCUGUUAUUAGGGAAGAACAUAUGUGUAAGUAACUGUGCACAUCUUGACGGUACCUAAUCAGAAAGCCACGGCUAACUACGUG